GGAAAUGUGCCCGAGUCAGGGACUACCUUGAUAGAGUAGAUACGGAACUAAGCACUCCCACUUCCC
Molecule: transfer RNA, 66 nt
Filed under: Sibon nebulatus (cloudy snail-eating snake)
Lineage: Eukaryota; Metazoa; Chordata; Lepidosauria; Squamata; Dipsadidae
Description: tRNA-Ile
Source: RNAcentral